UGAGGAACAUGACCUUCGGCGGGGGAUAGCCGGCCCAACGGCCGGGUAAUACCGCGUACGACCUUUUGGGGACAUCCCCGAUUGGUGAAAGCAGCAAUGCGCCGAAAGAGUGCCUCGCGGCCUAUCAGCUAGUUGGUGGGGUAAUGGCUCACCAAGGCGACGACGGGUAGCUGGUCUGAGAGGAUGGCCAGCCACAGUUGGGACUGAGACACGGCCCAGACCUCCGUACGGGAGCAGCGAGG
RNAcentral lists this ribosomal RNA (242 nucleotides) under uncultured bacterium. RNAcentral's name for it is "partial 16S ribosomal RNA". It matches the Rfam family "Bacterial small subunit ribosomal RNA", at positions 118 to 352 of the family's 1533-position model. The record is from RNAcentral.